RNAcentral lists this ribosomal RNA (484 nucleotides) under uncultured bacterium. Its description in RNAcentral is "partial 16S ribosomal RNA". It matches the Rfam family "Bacterial small subunit ribosomal RNA", at positions 30 to 507 of the family's 1533-position model. The record is from RNAcentral.
AUUGAACGCUGGCGGCAGGCCUAACACAUGCAAGUCGAGCGGAUGAAGGGAGCUUGCUCCUGGAUUCAGCGGCGGACGGGUGAGUAAUGCCUAGGAAUCUGCCUGGUAGUGGGGGAUAACGUCCGGAAGCGGGCGCUAAUACCGCAUACGUCCUGAGGGAGAAAGUGGGGGAUCUUCGGACCUCACGCUAUCAGAUGAGCCUAGGUCGGAUUAGCUAGUUGGUGGGGUAAAGGCCUACCAAGGCGACGAUCCGUAACUGGUCUGAGAGGAUGAUCAGUCACACUGUGACUGAGACACGCUCCACACUCCUCUGCGGGGCGCCAGUGUGGAGUAUUGUACAAUAGGCGAAAGCCUGUUCCAGCCACGCCGCGCGUGUGAGGAGGGUCUUCUGAGUGUGUAGCACUUUAAGUUGGGAGGAAGGGCAGUAAGUUAAUACCUUGCCGUUUUGACGUUACCAACAGAAUAAGCACCGGCUAACUUCGUG